RNAcentral lists this ribosomal RNA (881 nucleotides) under uncultured Bacillota bacterium. RNAcentral describes it as "bacterial SSU rRNA". It matches the Rfam family "Bacterial small subunit ribosomal RNA", at positions 58 to 942 of the family's 1533-position model. Lineage: Bacteria; Bacillati; Bacillota. The record is from RNAcentral.
CAAGUCGAGCGAGAAAAGGGGAGCAAUCCCCUGAGUAAAGCGGCGCACGGGUGAGUAACACGUGGGUAAUCUGCCCUGGAGUGGGGAAUAACACCGGGAAACCGGUGCUAAUACCGCAUACGAUCACAGAGUCUGCGGAUUUUGUGAUGAAAGGAGCAAUUCGCUCUAGGAGGAGCCCGCGGCUGAUUAGCUAGUUGGUGAGGUAACGGCUCACCAAGGCUACGAUCAGUAUCCGGUCUGAGAGGACGGUCGGACACACUGGAACUGAGACACGGUCCAGACUCCUACGGGAGGCAGCAGUGGGGAAUUUUUGGCAAUGGGGGCAACCCUGACCAAGCAACGCCGCGUGGGUGAUGAAGUCUCUUGGGACGUAAAACCCUUUCGACGGGGACGAAAGCCGCAAGGUUUGACGGUACCCGUAGAAGAAGCCCCGGCUAACUCCGUGCCAGCAGCCGCGGUAAUACGGGGGGGGCAAGCGUUGUUCGGAAUUACUGGGCGUAAAGGGCGCGUAGGCGGUUCGCUAAGUUGGAUGUGAAAACUCUGGGCUCAACCCAGAGCCUGCAUCCAAAACUGGCGGGCUAGAGUUCUGGAGGGGGUAGCGGAAUUCCUGGUGUAGCGGUGAAAUGCGUAGAUAUCAGGAGGAACACCGGUGGCGAAGGCGGCUACCUGGACAGAAACUGACGCUGAGGCGCGAAAGCUAGGGGAGCAAACAGGAUUAGAUACCCUGGUAGUCCUAGCCCUAAACGAUGGAUACUUGGUGUGACGGGGAUUGAAUCCCGUCGUGCCGAAGCUAACGCAUUAAGUAUCCCGCCUGGGGAGUACCGGUCGCAAGGCUGAAACUCAAAGGAAUUGACGGGGCCCCCACAAGCGGUGGAGUAUGU